This 793-nucleotide ribosomal RNA is filed under the name uncultured bacterium. RNAcentral's name for it is "bacterial SSU rRNA". It matches the Rfam family "Bacterial small subunit ribosomal RNA", at positions 8 to 796 of the family's 1533-position model. The record is from RNAcentral.
AGAGUUUGAUCCUGGCUCAGGAUGAACGCUAGCGGCAGGCUUAAUACAUGCAAGUCGUGGGGCAGCACAGGUAGCAAUACUGGGUGGCGACCGGCAAACGGGUGCGGAACACGUACGCAACCUUCCUUUAAGCGGGGAAUAGCCCAGGGAAACUUGGAUUAAUACCCCAUAAGAUAAUUGAAUGGCAUCAUUUGGUUAUUAAAGCUCCGGCACUUAAAGAUGGGCGUGCGGCUGAUUAGGUAGUUGGCGGGGUAGCGGCCCACCAAGCCGACGAUCAGUAACUGGUGUGAGAGCACGACCAGUCACACGGGCACUGAGACACGGGCCCGACUCCUACGGGAGGCAGCAGUAAGGAAUAUUGGUCAAUGGACGCAAGUCUGAACCAGCCAUGCCGCGUGGAGGAUGAAGGCCCUCUGGGUUGUAAACUUCUUUUAUUGGGGAAGAAACCGGUGUUUUCUAACGCCGUUGACGGUACCCGAUGAAUAAGCACCGGCUAACUCCGUGCCAGCAGCCGCGGUAAUACGGAGGGUGCAAGCGUUAUCGGGAUUCACUGGGUUUAAAGGGUGCGUAGGUGGGCAGGUAAGUCAGUGGUGAAAUCUCUGGGCUUAACCCGGAAACUGCCGUUGAUACUAUCUGUCUUGAAUGUAGUGGAGGUGAGCGGAAUAUGUCAUGUAGCGGUGAAAUGCUUAGAUAUGACAUAGAACAUCUAUUGCGAAGGCAGCUCGCUACACUAUUAUUGACACUGAGGCACGAAAGCGUGGGGAUCAAACAGGAUUAGAUACCCUAGUAGUCC